AACGAACGCUGGCGGCGUGGAUAAGACAUGCAAGUCGAACGCCUGUUACAGGGUAGCAAUAUUCUGUGGCAGGAGUGGCGCAAGGGUGCGUAACACGUGGGUUAUUUGCCGCGAAGUUGGGAACAACUCGUUGAAAGACGAGCUAAUACCUGAUGUGCUCCGCAAGGAGUAAAGCUGGGGAUCGUAAGACCUGGCGCUUCACGAUAAGCCCGCGGCCUAUCAGCUUGUUGGUGGGGUAACAGCCCACCAAGGCUAAGACGGGUAGCUGGUCUGAGAGGACGAUCAGCCACACUGGAACUGAGACACGGUCCAGACACCUACGGGUGGCAGCAGUCGAGAAUCUUUCACAAUGGGCGAAAGCCUGAUGGAGCGACGCCGCGUGGGGGAUGAAGGGCUUCGGUCUGUAAACCCCUGUCAUCUGUGAGCAAUGACAACGAUUUAAUAGAUCGUUGUUUGAUAGUAGCAGAAGAGGAAGGGACGGCUAACUCUGUGCCAGCAGCCGCGGUAAUACAGAGGUCCCAAGCGUUGUUCGGAUUCACUGGGCGUAAAGGGUGUGUAGGUGGUGGGAAAAGUUUGAUGUGAAAUCUCCGGGCUCAACCCGGAAACUGCAUUGAAAACUAUUCCACUAGAGGAUCGGAGGGGAGACUGGAAUUCUCGGUGUAGCAGUGAAAUGCGUAGAUAUCGAGAGGAACACCAGUGGCGAAGGCGAGUCUCUGGACGAUACCUGACGCUGAGGCACGAAAGCUAGGGGAGCAAACAGGAUUAGAUACCCUGGUAGUCCUAGCCGUAAACGGUGCACAUUUGCUAUGGGAGGAUUCGACCCCUUCCGUGGCGCAGCUAACGCGUUAAGUGCACCGCCUGGGGAGUACGGUCGCAAGAUUAAAACUCAAAGAAAUUGACGGGGGCCUGCACAAGCGGUGGAGUAUGUGGCUUAAUUCGAUGCAACGCGAAGAACCUUACCUGGGUUUGACAUGUAAGUGGAUAGAUCUGAAAGGUGAAUGACCCUCUUUGAGGGAGCUUACACAGGUGCUGCAUGGCUGUCGUCAGCUCGUGUCGUGAGAUGUUGGGUUAAGUCCCGCAACGAGCGCAACCCUCAUGUUCUGUUGCCACCCAAACGAGAGUUUGGAGCACUCCGAACAGACUGCCCCAUUUUAAUGGGGAGGAAGGUGGGGAUGACGUCAAGUCAGUAUGGCCCUUAUGUCCAGGGCUGCACACGUACUACAAUGCCCGGCACAAUGGGAAGCAAGACCGCAAGGUGGAGCCAAUCCCCAAAACCGGGCUCAGUUCAGAUUGUCGGCUGCAACUCGCCGGCAUGAAGGAGGAAUCGCUAGUAAUGGCGCAUCAGCUACGGCGCCGUGAAUACGUUCCCAGGCCUUGUACACACCGCCCGUCACAUCAUGAAAGCCGACGGUACCCGAAGUCUGCGCGCUAACCCGCAAGGGAAGCAGUGGCCGAAGAUGGCUGGUGAUUGGGAUG
This 1476-nucleotide ribosomal RNA is filed under the name uncultured prokaryote. RNAcentral describes it as "partial 16S ribosomal RNA". It matches the Rfam family "Bacterial small subunit ribosomal RNA". The record is from RNAcentral.